CACAGCCAUGCCAGUCCACAGUAACUAUGCCACUUGCCAAACAAGUCAUCAUGAGGUCAGUGAAUCAUACUCUAGAUGAACAAUAAGCCUCACCUGGGAGUGCCUGCUACAAGAUAAGAUGGUGCUAAAAGAGUGUUACUAUAGAUUAUGUAGCACCAAAUGUCAGGACAAGGCCUGAAUCCAAGGGAGGUUUUAUUGCUCUUCCACAGUGAAUAAUACUUGUUAGAGGAAGGGUCACAGACCACACGGUCUAGUGCCUUAGUUAAGUCCAUAAUGGAGGUAAAUGCAUCUGCUAAUAUCAAUUAAUUAUGUCCCUGCCCAAAGUUAAGCACCCUUCCUGUACAAUAAUCCUACCAUUAUCUGGUAAUGAUUUUCAGAAGGACUAAAAUUUACAUUUAAGUAAGUUUUAUACAGAAAUAAUGAGUCCCAUCAACACCACAUAGGGCUGGUUGAAUAAGAUAUGACACUAACCUUUUGACUUAUUAUUGGAUGCACACAGCAUGGAGAAGUUUAUUUCCAGCCAAAUAUUAUCCAUUCUUCCCUAAGGAACUUAGUGAGAUCCUGUCGCUAAAUAAAACAUAAAAACAAAAAAAUCUUAAUACACCAGAUUACAAAUCAGGUACAAAAGGGGCUUUUUCUAAAAGGAAGCAAAGUGCAU
RNAcentral lists this long non-coding RNA (658 nucleotides) under Marmota monax (woodchuck). Lineage: Eukaryota; Metazoa; Chordata; Mammalia; Rodentia; Sciuridae. The record is from RNAcentral.